Molecule: long non-coding RNA, 871 nt
Filed under: Homo sapiens (human)
Lineage: Eukaryota; Metazoa; Chordata; Mammalia; Primates; Hominidae
Description: novel transcript
Source: RNAcentral
CAUUCUCCCGCCUCAGCCUCCCGAGUAGCUGGGACUACAGGCGCCCGCCAUCACGCCCGGCUGCUUUUUUUGUUUUAGUAGAGAGGAGGUUUCACCGUGUUAGCCAGGAUGGUCUCAAUCUCCUGACCUCGUGAUCCGCCCGCCUCGGCCUCUCAAAGUGCUGGGAUUACACGCGUGAGCCACCGCGCCUGGCCUGAAGAAAGUUAAAAGAAAAGCUUUUUGAAUGAAUCACUUCUCAUCUUCUCCGAAGUUGGAAGCAUCAAGAAUCUAAAUAAGCAUUUAUGAUGGCUGGCAUGAAUAUACAGGUGAAGACAGAACAAGAAAACAAACCAAGAAUUUCCCCUCACCAGCCACCAGCUCUGCCAGCAACUUGAUCUUAGACUUCCCAGCCUCCGUAACGCCUCUGCUUAUAAUCUGUCAUGGAUUGGAAAACUAGAAAAAACAGUUUACAGAGUAUAACAAACUUUGGAGGAGUUAAUCGACUCUAAGUAAAAGAGUAUCUAGCACGGCUGUGGAACAAAGGAGAGACUCACAAACUGUUGAAAGAAUAAAUGAAUGAAUGAAUUCUGUUCAUGAGCUUUAAUAAAACAGCUCUGAGUAGUAACAGUGGAUCAAAUUUAGGCUUCUUGAUGCAGGCAUGGUGUAGAUUACUACUUCUGUAUUGUCCCAGGAGCUCAGCACAUUCCUGCAGAGAUGAUAGGAGCUCAUCUGAUACUUGUCAGCUUUGAAUAAACUCCAGUCCCCAAGAGAGAGAAUGAGAAUCACCGGAAUACGAAACUUCCCUGUUGGACUUCCCAACAUUCUUGAAUGCACCAAGAUAGCCUCUUGCUGUGAGAUUAAUAAAUGAAUAAAUGCCUCCAUAUUUUUCAAA